Electrophorus electricus (electric eel) is the source of this 549-nucleotide long non-coding RNA. RefSeq lists it as uncharacterized. NCBI's taxonomy places the organism in Eukaryota, Metazoa, Chordata, Actinopteri, Gymnotiformes, Gymnotidae. The record is from RefSeq and is a predicted model, not a curated record.
CCAGGUGCCCCGCAGAGAGGAAGUUCACCCUGGCCCUGAACAUGAACGCGCAUCCCCGAGAAGAAGAAGAUAGUGAAGGUUCUGCGAACGCGUUCGGAUGCUGGAGAACAUAGUGGGAACGCUUGAAUUAUUCCAUCCCACGGACCACAAGGAACCGGACGUGGAAAGGAGAACGCCAGACAGCAGGAAAAGGUGUUUAAGGGUCUCUUGAGACUGGAUGACGUCGUGUGGAAGCAGGAAAGGAGGAUAGAAAGAGUGCCCAGGAGGGGCCUUGUGGAACGGAUGAAUAGGGGAGGGGUGGUCGUCGGAGAAGAGCGCUCCAGGGACAGGUAUACCUGUAGAUAGUAUGUGACAACAUUAAUGUAUUUUUUUUUCCCGCAAUUUUUUUUUACUUUUUGUCUUCAACACAGAACUACGUAUUAAUUUACCUCUAUUGGAAAGUAUAACCAGUGUUAUAGUAAUGAUGAGUAACAUAUUUCCUCAUUUUUCCUCAGUUUGGACAGAGCACUCUCAACUAUUUCAUUGUGAGUUAUACUGUGUAUGACUAUA